This 682-nucleotide ribosomal RNA is filed under the name uncultured bacterium. RNAcentral describes it as "bacterial SSU rRNA". It matches the Rfam family "Bacterial small subunit ribosomal RNA", at positions 8 to 700 of the family's 1533-position model. The record is from RNAcentral.
AGAGUUUGAUCAUGGCUCAGAACGAACGCUGGUGGCGUGCUUAACACAUGCAAGUCGAACGAGAAAGUUUCCUUCGGGAAAUUAGUAAAGUGGCGCAAGGGUGAGUAACACGUGAAUAAUCUGCCCUCGAGAUCGGGAUAACAUGGUGAAAACUAUGCUAAUACCGGAUAAGACCACAUUUCAUAAGAAAUGUGGGAAAAGAAGUCUCAACCUUCACUCGAGGAUGAGUUCGCGCAACAUUAGCUUGUUGGUGAGAUAAAAGCUCACCAAGGCUACGAUGUUUAGCCGGCCUGAGAGGGUGAACGGCCACACUGGAACUGAGACACGGUCCAGACUCCUACGGGAGGCAGCAGUGGGGAAUAUUGCGCAAUGGGCGAAAGCCUGACGCAGCAACGCCGUGUGAGCGAUGAAGGCUUUAGGGUUGUAAAGCUCUGUCAAAUGGGAAGAAUUAUGACGGUACCAUUAGAGGAAGCCCCGGCUAACUCCGUGCCAGCAGCCGCGGUAAUACGGAGGGGGCAAGCGUUGUUCGGAAUUAUUGGGCGUAAAGCGUAUGUAGGCGGCUAAGUAAGUCAGGCGUGCAAGCCCGUGGCUCAACCACGGAAUUGCGUUUGAAACUGCUUAGCUUGAGUACAGGAGAGGAAAGCGGAAUUCCCAGUGUAGCGGUGAAAUGCAUUGAUAUUGG